Molecule: unclassified non-coding RNA, 306 nt
Filed under: uncultured fungus
Lineage: Eukaryota; Fungi
Description: partial contains 5.8S ribosomal RNA, internal transcribed spacer 2, and large subunit ribosomal RNA
Rfam family: 5.8S ribosomal RNA (bases 1-52)
Source: RNAcentral
AACGCACCUUGCGCUCCUUGGUAUUCCGAGGAGCAUGCCUGUUUGAGUGUCAUUAAAUUCUCAACCUCACCAGUUUUGUUAUCAAGACUGCGUGCUAGGCUUGGAAGUGGGGGCCUUUGCAGGCAACCCUUAUGGGAUGGUCUGCUCCCCUGAAAUGCAUUAGCAAGUUCAUGACUGGACUCCUGUCUUGGUGUGAUAACUAUCUACGCCAUAGAUUUGGUUUCAGACUUGCUUCUAACUGUCCGUAAGGACAAAUUACUUGACAAACUUGACCUCAAAUCAGGUAGGACUACCCGCUGAACUUAA